UAAGAAUAAUUUUUUUGUUCAGAAAGAGUUCGGAACCCUGUUCGCUUCGAGCCGUGAAGAGGAUGGUGCUGGCGUCGUCGCCUAUGAGGCACUCGGCGAUUCUUGUAGGGCGGAGGCGGGGUGCGGCCGUCGCCUCCCUUGCGGAGGACGGUUUUGGACUCGAUCAUGUUAGCCAGGUGGCCGCUUGUCCCCCGGCUUCAGCUGAUCCACCUCUUUGCUCAUCGAGCUCCCCCUUGCUGUUGCGCAGUCGCCAUGGCCACGGAAACCCUAAUCAAAUUCCAUCUUCGCCCACUUUAACUUGUGCUGGGUCUGGCCGAGGAUUCGCGUUUUGGGUUCGAUUCGCGCGUGUUAUCUCCCACAAUCGAAAUUCCAUUUUUGUCCCCUCUCCUCUUCCCUCUCUUCUUGAACGCGCUACGCUCUCACCUCCGUUUCUUGUACCACCUCGAUCACCGAAUCAGUCAUUUUGCAUUUGCCAUUUGAGGCGUCGAAUUGUUUAAUUUGAUCCGUUGUGUCCGCUCUGUGGAUCUUGCAACUCGAAGCAGCGAGGAGACAUCUCUCGUUCCAUGUUUUACUGAAGAGACGAUUAGGAUUCCAUGUUGGAUGUGAGCUCUCCUUCACGAACAGUGAUCAGAGCAUCCAAAGAUCAUCUCUUUCUAUGUUUUGUGCAACUUGUGAGGUUUAUUAUGGCGUGGAUUCCCAGUGUCUAGGUGUACUGCAGUCUUGAAGGCGGCUUUCUAUAAUUACAUUCUUCUUUCAGGUGAUCGGCGACCGCCUCCUCCGGCGUACUCUCCUCUGGCAAUUGGCUAUCUUCCCUUCGGCAUGCAGGUAUUUCCCUCUCCCUCUCUCCUUUUAUCAUUUCACCAUGGCUACUGGCGCCAAGCGUUGCCGCACCCGACAGUGCUUUGCUGGCGUCGAGAACUGCCGUGCCCACAGUGCUCGGUUGGCGCUGAGAACUGCCAUGCGUGCCCGGCAGUGCUCGGGCGAUGCUGAAAACUACUGUACCUGGCAGUGCUACACUGUCGUCGAAAACUAUAGUGCUCAGUCGCCACUGAGUGCUCGACCGCCACCGAGAACUUUGCGCCCGGCAGUGCUCGACCAGUGCCGAACAAUGGCAUGCCCGACAUUGUCAAUUUCUAAGAAUAUCAAUUUCUAUUAUAACUCUCAUCUAUUAAUUGUCUCAUCUUUAGCAAUGAAAUUAUGAGUUACUCCUAUAUAUAUCCAACGUAGCUCAAAAUUCUCAUGCAGAAACAAGUUAUGAUGUCAUCUUAUUAUAGUGGCAUUAAAACAUUGAUGAUGCUACAUUAUACAUAACUAUUUAGCAUCCUGAGCUUAACACGCUGAGCAUGUUACUAUAUUAGCCAAGCAAUAUGUACAAUGGUUGAACAUGCUUAGUUUUACACGUUAAAUUAAAUAGAAUGAUUUAAAUAUAAAUAUGCUUAGUUUGACAUGAUUAAUUAUAUUGAAAAUUUUAUUCUUAUUAGGAUAUAAUGUAUAUGAACAAUGUUUAGAUGUACAAUAGAUUAGAUAAUGCAUUUAUCAGUCAAGAAUUUUUUGCUAGGUUGAAGAGUUUGUGAACUUCGUUAAGUCUCAUCUAGAAUUGUAAUGAUGCCUAUUAAAGUGUUCAUAUAAUCAACGCAGAUGUAGAAAUAUAACUUUUCGUAAUGAGGAUUUAAUGAAAACACACAUACAUAUGUAGGUAUGAGUUUGUUCUAAACUAUUACAACUGGUAUUAUUAUGGAGAGCCAUAUGUAUUUGAUCAAAUUGGACAUUCUGUUGCUUUGUCAUUCUGCCCAAUUGCUCUAGAGGAAUCAUCAGGGCUCGUGAAUACAAUGCAGUCAAUGGUUUACAACGCAAUGAAUGCAUAUGAUCAAUUGAAUAUAGAGGAAACACUUACACCUGAAGUUUAGAAAAUGUAUGACAUGUAAAAUGCUAGUAAAAGAGAAUUAUCGGAAGAUAUUCUUUUUGGUCAUUUUCAACUAUCAGCUAUUGCAAGAUUACUGAACAUGAAGGCAGAACAUUAUUUCUCUGAACUAUGUUACAAUGAUAUGCGUCAAUUGAUAGUAGAGUUACUCCUCGCUGAUAAUUGCAUGAUUGAUAGUUUCUAUAAUACAAAGAAAUUGAUUAGAGAUUCGAGUUUGCUAGUAGAGAAGAUUUAUUAUUGUAUCAAUAAUUGUAUGAUCUUUUGGAAUGAAAAUAAUAAACUAAUGGAAUGUAGAAUGUGAAAUUACUCUCAUUAUAAGCAGAGUAGUAGUAUACUUGGGAAGAAGAAGAAAAAUAUUCUCUUAGAAGUCAUGUGUUACUUUCUAUUAACUGUUAGGCUCCAAAGUUUAUAUGCAUUUGCCGUAACAGCAAGGUGACAUCAAAACCAUGUACAUGAAGGAGAUAGAAUGCGUCAUCUUUACAACUCCCCUGCAUGGAAACAUCUUGAUAUAAAUAUUUUCUUCCUUUGCAAUGGAACCACGUAAUGUGAGAUUUGGACUUUUGGCAGAUGAAUUUUAGCCAUUUGGAAGCUAUGGACAAUAAUAUUCAUCUUGGUCGGUUAUAUUAACACCAUACAAUUUACCUUCAUGGAUGUGUAUGAAAGAUGAAUUUAUGUUUGUUACUAUUCUUAUUCCAAAGUUCUCAAAAUUUAAAGAGGCAAAUAAAUAUUUUUUUACAACCUUUGAUUGCAGAGUUAAAUCAUUUAUGGAAUGUAGGAUCGAAGACUUAUGAUAUUACAAGUAAAUCAAACUU
Molecule: long non-coding RNA, 2733 nt
Organism: Zingiber officinale
Lineage: Eukaryota; Viridiplantae; Streptophyta; Magnoliopsida; Zingiberales; Zingiberaceae
Exons: 4
Source: RefSeq, a predicted model, not a curated record